CAGAGUUUACAACUCCCAAACCCAAAUGUGAACAUACCUACUGUUGCUUCGGCGUGCUCGCCCCGGCGUCCGGCUGGCCUCGUGCUGGUCGCGGCCCGGAACCAGGUGGCCGCCGGAGAAAACCAAAACUCUUUGUAUUAUCAGCUUCUUCUGAAUCCGCCGCAAGGCAAAACAAAUGAAUCA
This 183-nucleotide unclassified non-coding RNA is filed under the name uncultured Lecanicillium. RNAcentral describes it as "sequence contains ITS1". The record is from RNAcentral. Lineage: Eukaryota; Fungi; Ascomycota; Sordariomycetes; Hypocreales; Cordycipitaceae.